Ostrinia nubilalis (European corn borer) is the source of this 398-nucleotide long non-coding RNA. RefSeq lists it as uncharacterized. The record is from RefSeq and is a predicted model, not a curated record. The transcript has 2 exons. NCBI's taxonomy places the organism in Eukaryota, Metazoa, Arthropoda, Insecta, Lepidoptera, Crambidae.
GACAAUGGGGUCAUCAGUGAACCCUUAUAUAUGGCCUGGACUUAGUCUCAUCAGUCAGUGUACAACCGACAUUCACAAUACAAACAAUCAAUAUGUUCAAGCUUCUGAUCCUCGCUGCCCUGAUGGCGUUUGCCGCCGCUAAGCCCCUCGUCUACACGUACUCGGCUCCCGUGGCUGCCUACAGCGCCCCCUACGCAGCCUACACAGUCCCCCUCGCCUACAGCGCCUACUCCGCCUACUCCCCCGUCACCUAUUCCGCUUAUUCUUACGCCGCGCCUUACUCUUACUAUAUUUAGAUGCCUCAACGCGUAUAUCAUAAUGAAGUUUAUUUAUAAUUAACGAUACUGGACCAAAUGUAGUACUUAGCUAAGAAAGUGAAUUACACUCUAUAAAACCAA